CACGUAGGAAAUGGUGGCUUCCCAAUGGCCCUGAGGGAUCAGGGCCAGACACAAUCUUUGGGGUGGCUGCACGUCACUCUCGGGCAGAGGAGAGGGCCUUGCUCCUAGCUGGUGUAUCUAUCGCAUGCCCUAGAGGCCAGGAUUAAUGUGAGUUCUAGCAAGUGACCUGAUAGUAAGGCUGGUGAAGAUUUGGGGUCUCAGUUUUUCUUUUUAGCCUGAGAAAUGGUCCUUAUGAUGAUCGCAUCUGACCCUCUCAUUUUACAGAUUGGGAAACUGAGGCUCAAAGAGGAAAAGCAAUGCGGUGGGAUCCAAACCCAGGUCUCGACUCCUGGCCCUGCAGCUGUGCCUGCAAACUAAAGGAGGAAUGACACACCAAUGGCUGCAGUGGGGCGCAGUGGAGCACAGAGCAAGACCCCUUGCCUGAGAUCAGCAGUUCGCAACAUGUGGCCCCAAGACCUGUGGCGUCAGCAUCCCCUGGGAAUCUGAUUCAACAAGCUCUCCAGGACAGGAACGUCUCAGGACAGGCAGGAGGAUGUCAGGAAAGCAGCAGCAAUGAGCCUUCAUAAUAUUAACACCCUCCUCGCUCUCCCAUCUUGGACCUCAUGCGAAGGGUCACCGCGCAGGACUGAGGUAGACUUCCUGGGGCCGCAAGACGAGCGAGAACCUUUGCACAGAAUGCAGAUAGAUCUGAACUGGGUCUCAACUCAGCUACCCUCGGGCCCAGCU
Molecule: long non-coding RNA, 726 nt
Organism: Chinchilla lanigera (long-tailed chinchilla)
Lineage: Eukaryota; Metazoa; Chordata; Mammalia; Rodentia; Chinchillidae
Exons: 3
Source: RefSeq, a predicted model, not a curated record